CCAGCCCCUUUCGAUGACGGGUAUUCUUGGGUACAUAAUACGGAUGGCGCUGUUAUUGCUUGAGAAUACGCGUAGUCGAGGGAGAGGCACCGACGUCUGG
Molecule: non-coding RNA, 100 nt
Organism: Ornithorhynchus anatinus (platypus)
Lineage: Eukaryota; Metazoa; Chordata; Mammalia; Monotremata; Ornithorhynchidae
Gene: MIR137B
Product: microRNA mir-137b
Exons: 1
Source: RefSeq, marked provisional